RNAcentral lists this ribosomal RNA (1210 nucleotides) under Escherichia coli. RNAcentral's name for it is "partial 23S ribosomal RNA". It matches the Rfam family "Bacterial large subunit ribosomal RNA", at positions 1607 to 2798 of the family's 2925-position model. The record is from RNAcentral. Lineage: Bacteria; Pseudomonadati; Pseudomonadota; Gammaproteobacteria; Enterobacterales; Enterobacteriaceae.
UCCAGGAAAAGCCUCUAAGCAUCAGGUAACAUCAAAUCGUACCCCAAACCGACACAGGUGGUCAGGUAGAGAAUACCAAGGCGCUUGAGAGAACUCGGGUGAAGGAACUAGGCAAAAUGGUGCCGUAACUUCGGGAGAAGGCACGCUGAUAUGUAGGUGAAGUCCCUCGCGGAUGGAGCUGAAAUCAGUCGAAGAUACCAGCUGGCUGCAACUGUUUAUUAAAAACACAGCACUGUGCAAACACGAAAGUGGACGUAUACGGUGUGACGCCUGCCCGGUGCCGGAAGGUUAAUUGAUGGGGUCAGCGCAAGCGAAGCUCUUGAUCGAAGCCCCGGUAAACGGCGGCCGUAACUAUAACGGUCCUAAGGUAGCGAAAUUCCUUGUCGGGUAAGUUCCGACCUGCACGAAUGGCGUAAUGAUGGCCAGGCUGUCUCCACCCGAGACUCAGUGAAAUUGAACUCGCUGUGAAGAUGCAGUGUACCCGCGGCAAGACGGAAAGACCCCGUGAACCUUUACUAUAGCUUGACACUGAACAUUGAGCCUUGAUGUGUAGGAUAGGUGGGAGGCUUAGAAGUGUGGACGCCAGUCUGCAUGGAGCCGACCUUGAAAUACCACCCUUUAAUGUUUGAUGUUCUAACGUUGACCCGUAAUCCGGGUUGCGGACAGUGUCUGGUGGGUAGUUUGACUGGGGCGGUCUCCUCCUAAAGAGUAACGGAGGAGCACGAAGGUUGGCUAAUCCUGGUCGGACAUCAGGAGGUUAGUGCAAUGGCAUAAGCCAGCUUGACUGCGAGCGUGACGGCGCGAGCAGGUGCGAAAGCAGGUCAUAGUGAUCCGGUGGUUCUGAAUGGAAGGGCCAUCGCUCAACGGAUAAAAGGUACUCCGGGGAUAACAGGCUGAUACCGCCCAAGAGUUCAUAUCGACGGCGGUGUUUGGCACCUCGAUGUCGGCUCAUCACAUCCUGGGGCUGAAGUAGGUCCCAAGGGUAUGGCUGUUCGCCAUUUAAAGUGGUACGCGAGCUGGGUUUAGAACGUCGUGAGACAGUUCGGUCCCUAUCUGCCGUGGGCGCUGGAGAACUGAGGGGGGCUGCUCCUAGUACGAGAGGACCGGAGUGGACGCAUCACUGGUGUUCGGGUUGUCAUGCCAAUGGCACUGCCCGGUAGCUAAAUGCGGAAGAGAUAAGUGCUGAAAGCAUCUAAGCACGAAACUUGCC